CGUCCCCAGGCCCACGGUGCAGUGCUGCAUCUCUGGUCAGUUGGGAGUCUGAGAUGAAGCACUGUAGCUCGGGAGGAGGGACAC
RNAcentral lists this microRNA precursor (84 nucleotides) under Atractosteus spatula (alligator gar). Its description in RNAcentral is "mir-143 microRNA precursor family". It matches the Rfam family "mir-143 microRNA precursor family". The record is from Rfam by way of RNAcentral. Lineage: Eukaryota; Metazoa; Chordata; Actinopteri; Semionotiformes; Lepisosteidae. RNAcentral also lists the same sequence under 1 other name.